CGGUGUUUAACUGGCGUGAUGUGGGACGUCCUACCGGUGGGCUUAGCCUCGCGAGGGGCGGCCCAACUAAUAUCCCGUCGCGGUGCUCUUUACUGAGUGUCGAGUCGGGCCGGUACGUUUACUUUGAACAAAUUAGAGUGCUUAAAGCAGGCUAUCCUCGCCUGAAUACUGCGUGCAUGGAAUAAUGGAAUAGGACCUCGGUUCUAUUUUGUUGGUUUUCGGAACCCCGAGGUAAUGAUUAAUAGGGACAGAUGGGGGCAUUCGUAUUGCGACGUUAGAGGUGAAAUUCUUGGAUCGUCGCAAGACGGACAGAAGCGAAAGCAUUUGCCAAAAAUGUUUUCAUUAAUCAAGAACGAAAGUUAGAGGUUCGAAGGCGAUCAGAUACCGCCCUAGUUCUAACCAUAAACGAUGCCAGCUAGCGAUCCGCCGAAGUUCCUCCGAUGACUCGGCGGGCAGCUUCCGGGAAACCAAAGCUUUUGGGUUCCGGGGGAAGUAUGGUUGCAAAGCUGAAACUUAAAGGAAUUGGCGGAAGGGCACCACCAGGAGUGGAGCCUGCGGCUUAAUUUGACUCAACACGGGAAACCUCACCAGGCCCAGACACCGGAAGGAUUGACAGAUUGAUAGCUCUUUCUUGAUUCGGUGGGUGGUGGUGCAUGGCCGUUCUUAGUUGGUGGAGCGAUUUGUCUGGUUAAUUCCGAUAACGAACGAGACUCUAGCCUGCUAAAUAGGCGUACCUUAUGGUAUCGCGAAGGCCCCCGGCUUCGGCCGGUGGGUUUUUACUACCAACGUACAAACAAAUCUUCUUAGAGGGACAGGCGG
RNAcentral lists this ribosomal RNA (819 nucleotides) under uncultured eukaryote. RNAcentral describes it as "SSU rRNA". It matches the Rfam family "Eukaryotic small subunit ribosomal RNA", at positions 629 to 1426 of the family's 1831-position model. The record is from RNAcentral.